AUUGAACGCUGGCGGCAUGCCUUACACAUGCAAGUCGAACGGCAGCACGGGAGCAAUCCUGGUGGCGAGUGGCGAACGGGUGAGUAAUACAUCGGAACGUGCCCAAUCGUGGGGGAUAACGCAGCGAAAGCUGUGCUAAUACCGCAUACGAUCUACGGAUGAAAGCAGGGGAUCGCAAGACCUUGCGCGAAUGGAGCGGCCGAUGGCAGAUUAGGUAGUUGGUGAGGUAAAGGCUCACCAAGCCGUCGAUCUGUAGCUGGUCUGAGAGGACGACCAGCCACACUGGGACUGAGACACGGCCCAGACUCCUACGGGAGGCAGCAGUGGGGAAUUUUGGACAAUGGGCGAAAGCCUGAUCCAGCCAUGCCGCGUGCAGGAUGAAGGCCUUCGGGUUGUAAACUGCUUUUGUACGGAACCAAACGGCCUUUUCUAAUAAAGAGGGCUAAUGACGGUACCGUAAGAAUAAGCACCGGCUAACUACGUGCCAGCAGCCCCGGUAAUACGCAGGGUGCAACCGUUAAUCGGAAUACUGGGCCCAAACGGGCCCAUGUGGUUACGUAAGACAGA
RNAcentral lists this ribosomal RNA (567 nucleotides) under uncultured Comamonadaceae bacterium. RNAcentral's name for it is "bacterial SSU rRNA". It matches the Rfam family "Bacterial small subunit ribosomal RNA", at positions 28 to 592 of the family's 1533-position model. Lineage: Bacteria; Pseudomonadati; Pseudomonadota; Betaproteobacteria; Burkholderiales; Comamonadaceae. The record is from RNAcentral.